Tribolium madens (black flour beetle) is the source of this 460-nucleotide long non-coding RNA. RefSeq lists it as uncharacterized. The record is from RefSeq and is a predicted model, not a curated record. NCBI's taxonomy places the organism in Eukaryota, Metazoa, Arthropoda, Insecta, Coleoptera, Tenebrionidae. The transcript is spliced from 3 exons.
AUGAAGACCAUUCUCACAUCAUUACAGACUAUAAAAGACGAUAUGAAACAUCUAAUAAAUAUUAAUGUUAAUUAUUGUAAGAAUAGUAAAGAGAUUGAAAUUAUUAAUGCAGAAAUCGAAUGUUACAACACAAGAGAGGAGCUUCAAAACUUUAAUAAAGAGUUGGGGAACAUCGAGAAAAUGUCGAAUGUGGUUUCAGCAUUUCAAGUAAUUGGGGGGAAAGAUGCAUCAGAGACAGUAUAUAGAAUCAUGACCAAAAUUAUAUCCCAUUCUCUUUCGCUGUCCUAUAAUUGGUCAGGAAAAAAUAAGAAAUAUAACUUCUCCGAAUUAACAAAUGUUGUGAAAAUGAUAACUCUUGCUGUCAGAAAAAAUCCAUUUGCACGCAAUGCAUCAUCAAAGCAAAUUGAGGAUAUAAUAAAAAUUUGGCUUAGAAACGCUGGGGACAGAAACGGCGGCAGAA